AAAAUCCGUCGACUUUAGAAAUCGUGAGGGUUCCCNNUUUUCCCCA
Molecule: transfer RNA, 46 nt
Filed under: Inga alba
Lineage: Eukaryota; Viridiplantae; Streptophyta; Magnoliopsida; Fabales; Fabaceae
Description: partial tRNA-Leu
Source: RNAcentral